RNAcentral lists this ribosomal RNA (293 nucleotides) under uncultured bacterium. RNAcentral describes it as "partial 16S ribosomal RNA". It matches the Rfam family "Bacterial small subunit ribosomal RNA", at positions 505 to 796 of the family's 1533-position model. The record is from RNAcentral.
GUGCCAGCCGCCGCGGUAAUACGUAGGGCCCAAGCGCUAUCCGGAAUCACUGGGCGUAAAGAGUUUGUAGGCGGUAAUUUAAGUGGAGUGCGAAAUCCUGUGGCUCAACCAUAUGGACUGUAUUUCAAACUGGAUUACUUGAGGUAGGCAGAGGUUAGCGGAAUUUGCGGUGUAGGAGUGAAAUCCGUAGAUAUCGCAAGGAACACCAAUGGCGAAGGCAGCUAACUGGGCCUUACCUGACGCUGAGAAACGAAAGCGUGGGGAGCGAACGGGAUUAGAAACCCUCGUAGUCC